GACGAACGCUGGCGGCGUGCUUAACACAUGCAAGUCGAACGAUGAACCGGUUUCGGCCGGGGAUUAGUGGCGAACGGGUGAGUAACACGUGGGCAAUCUGCCCUGCACUCUGGGAUAAGCCCGGGAAACUGGGUCUAAUACCGGAUACGACACUCCGAGGCAUCUUGGGGUGUGGAAAGUUCCGGCGGUGCAGGAUGAGCCCGCGGCCUAUCAGCUUGUUGGUGGGGUAAUGGCCUACCAAGGCGACGACGGGUAGCCGGCCUGGGAGGGUGACCGGCCACACUGGGACUGAGACACGGCCCAGACUCCUACGGGAGGCAGCAGUGGGGAAUAUUGCACAAUGGGCGAAAGCCUGAUGCAGCGACGCCGCGUGAGGGAUGACGGCCUUCGGGUUGUGAACCUCUGUCAGCAGGGAAGAAGCGAAAGUGACGGUACCUGCAGAAGAAGCACCGGCUAACUACGUG
Molecule: ribosomal RNA, 464 nt
Filed under: uncultured bacterium
Lineage: Bacteria
Description: partial 16S ribosomal RNA
Rfam family: Bacterial small subunit ribosomal RNA
Source: RNAcentral